UAUAACUGCAGUCGAGCGGACAGAUGAGGAGCUUGCUCCUCUGACGUUAGCGGCGGAUGGGUGAGUAACACGUGGGCAACCUGCCCUGCAGUUGGGGAUAACUCCGGGAAACCGGGGCUAAUACCGAAUAAUCAGUUCCUUCGCAUGAAGGAACUCUGAAAGACGGCUAUGCUGUCACUGCAGGAUGGGCCCGCGGCGCAUUAGCUAGUUGGUGAGGUAACGGCUUACCAAGGCGACGAUGCGUAGCCGACCUGAGAGGGUGAUCGGCCACACUGGGACUGAGACACGGCCCAGACUCCUACGGGAGGCAGCAGUAGGGAAUCUUCCACAAUGGACGAAAGUCUGAUGGAGCAACGCCGCGUGAGUGAAGAAGGUUUUCGGAUCGUAAAGCUCUGUUGUGAGGGAAGAACAAGUACAGGAGUAACUGUCUGUACCUUGACGGUACCUCAUUAGAAAGCCACGGCUAACUACGUGCCAGCAGCCGCGGUAAUACGUAGGUGGCAAGCGUUGUCCGGAAUUAUUGGGCGUAAAGCGCGCGCAGGCGGCCUUUUAAGUCUGAUGUGAAAGCCCACGGCUCAACCGUGGAAGGUCAUUGGAAACUGGAAGGCUUGAGUACAGAAGAGGAAAGCGGAAUUCCACGUGUAGCGGUGAAAUGCGUAGAGAUGUGGAGGAACACCAGUGGCGAAGGCGGCUUUCUGGUCUGUAACUGACGCUGAGGCGCGAAAGCGUGGGGAGCAAACAGGAUUAGAUACCCUGGUAGUCCACGCCGUAAACGAUGAGUGCUAAGUGUUAGGGGGUUUCCGCCCCUUAGUGCUGGAGCAAACGCAUUAAGCACUCCGCCUGGGGGAGUACGGCCGCAAGGCUGAAACUCAAAGGAAUUGACGGGGGACCCGCACAAGCGGUGGAGCAUGUGGUUUAAUUCGAAGCUACGCGAAGAACCUUACCAGGUCUUGACAUCCCGCUGCCCGGGUAUAGAAAAUAUACCUUUUCCUUUCGGGGACAGCGGUGAACGGUGGGUGCAUGGUUUGUCCUCCACUUCGUGUCCUGGAAAUGUUGGGGUUAAGUUCCCGUAACGAAGCGCAACCCUUUGACCUUAAUUUGCCAGCCAUUAAGUUGGGGCACUUUAAAGGGGAACUGGCCGGUUGAACAAACCCGGAAGGAAAGGUGGGGGGAAUAAACGUCAAAAUCAUACAAGGCCCCCUUUAAAACCCUGGGGGCUAACAACCGGGGGCUACCAUUGGGAACGGGUAACAAAGAGGUUUGCCAAACCCCCCGGAGGG
Molecule: ribosomal RNA, 1280 nt
Filed under: Sporosarcina pasteurii
Lineage: Bacteria; Bacillati; Bacillota; Bacilli; Caryophanales; Caryophanaceae
Description: bacterial SSU rRNA
Rfam family: Bacterial small subunit ribosomal RNA
Source: RNAcentral